GUUGGAGACUCAGACGUUGUUGGUUUAGCACGUCGCUGGACUCCUCGAAGGUGCCACUUCUCAACCCUCUGCAGUCCCGUCCUGGUUUCAGUCUUCAGCAGCAGUUUUAGGACUGGCCUCAGAUGAAAAGUUCAGCUGACGAUCAAAACUUCUGAGCGAAAACUUACAAGCACCUGGCUGUGAACGAUAUUAUCUCCUGAAGAUAGGUGAGAACAUCGGAAAGUAGACCACUUUCCUCAAGAGGUCCAUGCUCAGCAGGAUUGCAAAGCCAACUGCAAGAAUGAACAUGCUUCUGAAGUGGUGUGACCAACAAUUGUUACUUUAAGGCUGUUGUCCCUCUCAGGACUGUGCCAUGUGACCGACCGCUCCACUGUCUGCUUCCGUGUUUGCGGAAAGGUGUGUGAAGUGCUCUUGGAUGAGCCACACCACACUUUGUUUGAAUCCUCCAUGACACCGGUCCCAUCAGUACACUCAGUGAUGGACUUUGGCAGAAGUUAAGAACACACUGAGCUCACAUUACAGGAACAGACUGUGCCUGGUGGUCACACCCUGGCUCCUGGUGUUGGUCGGGAUGUGUGAAAUGCUCAGAGACAACAAACCAAUGGCUUUGGCUG
This is a long non-coding RNA of Pristis pectinata (smalltooth sawfish), 614 nucleotides long. RefSeq lists it as uncharacterized. The transcript has 3 exons. The record is from RefSeq and is a predicted model, not a curated record. NCBI's taxonomy places the organism in Eukaryota, Metazoa, Chordata, Chondrichthyes, Rhinopristiformes, Pristidae.